Non-coding RNA from Ceratobasidium sp. 423, 109 nucleotides. NCBI's taxonomy places the organism in Eukaryota, Fungi, Basidiomycota, Agaricomycetes, Cantharellales, Ceratobasidiaceae. The record is from the annotation of a GenBank genome assembly.
GGCUGUAUAGUGUAGUGGUUUAGCACAUGGGAUUUUGAACGCGUACCCGGGUUCAAUCCGGUGAUUACGUAAGCUUCCCAGGACCCCGGUUCGAACCCGGGUACGGCCU